GCCACUAGGCGGAGGGGAGGGGAAGGGAGGGGGCAAGGGAAGAGGGAGGGGGACGGGGAAGCCUCUCCGCUCGGUUACCCGGCAACUGGCCUCAGCGCCCCGCCAACCAGGUGAUAGCUCCAUAUCCUUCCGCUCAGACACCCGGGAUUACAUCAGAACAGGGUCACAUAGUCCCCUCCCCCUUCAGGGCGGAGAGCGAGCCGAGAGGAAGCGAAGGAGCGGAGGAGAGGAGAAAGAGGGAGGAAAAGAGGGCGUUAUAUUCCCUGCAAAAUGAGGAUAAAAUGACCAUGUACUUCCCAGAAAAUGAAGGAAUUGGACCAAGUUGCUAUGGUCUCCUACAGCUCUGCAAUUCUACAUUCAACCAUCUGGGUAUAAAACUACACAGUGACCUGCUCUAUGGUGCCCAGGACUUCAGCUGUUUUAGUGGGAUACUGCUAAGAUGAAUGAAGCAAAGCAAUCCCUAAAUUGGACUCCAAUUGGAAGGCCUGACUGAAGGGACAUGGAGCACCAGGGACAUAGAUUGCAAGAACCCAGGAAAAGUGUCAUGGGUAGGUUAGGAACUAAAUGUUGAAGAAGAGUCUAUUGGAGGACCAUACAAUAAAGGAGAAAUCUGUGGGGUGUCCCA
RNAcentral lists this long non-coding RNA (625 nucleotides) under Monodelphis domestica (gray short-tailed opossum). RNAcentral describes it as "lncRNA (ENSMODG00000042051.1)". The record is from RNAcentral. Lineage: Eukaryota; Metazoa; Chordata; Mammalia; Didelphimorphia; Didelphidae.